RNAcentral lists this unclassified non-coding RNA (390 nucleotides) under soil metagenome. Its description in RNAcentral is "partial contains 5.8S ribosomal RNA, internal transcribed spacer 2, and large subunit ribosomal RNA". The stretch from base 1 to 122 matches the Rfam family "5.8S ribosomal RNA", at positions 35 to 154 of the family's 154-position model. The record is from RNAcentral.
GAUGAAGAACGCAGCGAAAUGCGAUACUUGGUGUGAAUUGCAGAAUCCCGCGAAUCAUCGAAUUUUUGAACGCAAGUUGCGCCCGAAGCCAUUCGGCCGAGGGCACGUCUGCCUGGGUGUCACGCAUCGUUGCCCCCCCAAACUCCGGUUCGGGCGGGGCGGAAGUUGGCCUCCCGUGCGUGCCUGCGCGCGCGGUUAGCCCAAAAGCGAGUCCUCGGCGAUGAGCGCCACGACAAUCGGUGGUUUUUUUACCCUCGUUCCUCGUCGUGCGUGCCCCGUCGCCCGAACGCGCUCUUGCAACCCUUACGCGUCGCCUCGGUGGCGCUCCCAACGCGACCCCAGGUCAGGCGGGACUACCCGCUGAGUUUAAGCAUAUCAAUAGGCGGAGGA